UCUACGGGACGCAGCAGUAGGGAAUAUUCCGCAAUGGGCGAAAGCCUGACGGAGCAACGCCGCGUGAGUGAAGAAGGUCUUCGGAUCGUAAAGCUCUGUCAACAGGGACGAAACAAGACGGUACCUGAGAAGGAAGCCACGGCAAACUACGUGCCAGCAGCCGCGGUAAUACGUAGGUGGCAAGCGUUGUCCGGAAUAACUGGGCGUAAAGCGCAUGUAGACGGCAUGAUAAGCCAAAUGUGAAAUGUAGGGGCUCAACCCCUACACUGCGAUUGGAACUGUCAAGCUUGAGUGCAGGAGAGGCAAAUGGAAUUCCCAGUGUAGCAGUGAAAUGCGUAGAGAUUGGGAGGAACACCAGUGGCGAAGGCGAUUUGCUGGACUGCAACUGACGUUGAGAUGCGAAAGCCAGGGGAGCAAACGGGAUUAGAUACCCCGGUAGUCCUGGCCGUAAACGAUGGAUACUAGGUGUAGAGGGUAUCGACCCCUUCUGUGCCGCAGUGAACGCAAUAAGUAUCCCGCCUGGGGAGUACGGUCGCAAGACUGAAACUCAAAGGAAUUGACGA
RNAcentral lists this ribosomal RNA (563 nucleotides) under uncultured bacterium. RNAcentral describes it as "bacterial SSU rRNA". It matches the Rfam family "Bacterial small subunit ribosomal RNA", at positions 338 to 916 of the family's 1533-position model. The record is from RNAcentral.